CCAACUGUCCCAGAUCCUUCACCUGGUUGCCACUUAUCACCCCUGAGGGAAACUGCAUCAACCAAUCCCUUAUACAAACUUUCCCCAUCUGCUCUCUGCUGGCCUGUUAAUAUUCAGUGAAUAGCUCACCCCAGUCAGGGGACCAGGGCCUCUCCCUUCCCUCCUCAUCCACCCCCAUGGGAAGGCCAUUCUCUGCACCUACCUCCUUUGUCUCCUGGGCUGCUGUUGCCAACUGGAUUUUACUCCUCCUGGUCUCGGUGAUGCCAGUACCAAUCACCGGGCAAUACCACCACCAUCUGCCUCUCCUGAUGUGUUACCAAGCCUGGAGCUCCUGCAUUUGACAUCCCGCAGCUCGGCUCCCUCCAGAGGUGGUGGAAUGAGGGGCGGUACUGAGCACAAAACAGGACCCUUAGGUGCCUUGUUCUCAAAUUCCAAAUUUGCAGGACAGGUUCUUGAGACAUGAGACUAUCCUGGAAAAAAGCAGGAUGUUUUGCAGUGCUGCCAGCCAUUGGGAAAGUGAGGUACAGAGCAGUGAAGUGUCAUCCACCACUCCAGCAGGCAUUGCACUGCAUCUUCUCACAUGUGUAGGCAAAACCAAGAUUAGCUGAGAAAAUUCAGAAAGAGAAGAUGGAAACAAUCAAAGUCAUCUUUCAUGUCUGACUACAAACACACUGGAAGUAAAGCCAAGACAAAGUAAUAGCAGAAGUCCAAAUUUCUCUUCUUGGGCAUGCAUUUGUUAAUAGUUGGCUGUGUUGCUAAGAAACAGCUGAAAUGCCCAGAAGAUGCUGAAGGAGUAACACUUUACCAUUUCCAUUAGUGAAGUCUUCUGGAGAACACUGGGUACUUAGGGAAUAUGCCAGGAGAAAGGGUACAUGAUCUGCAAAACAACAGAGUACAUUUGUAAGCAUCUUUUUGGGAGUCAGUACACUCCCUUUUCACUGUUCUCAAAACAUCUGCAAGCAACUUCCUCACCUUAAUUUCUGGAACUGAAGGUGGUAUCUCUGAACAUACAGCUCAUGAAAGAGACCUCCAGAGAACAGGGAGAGUUAUCACUUAUACAAAUUUCACUCUAAGGAACAUUAGAUACUGUAGAUAUAAUUCAUUAUUUGAAUAACAGAUUUUCCAAGCCCACAUUAACGUGUUUUGUACAUAAA
Long non-coding RNA from Mauremys reevesii (Reeves's turtle), 1154 nucleotides. RefSeq lists it as uncharacterized. NCBI's taxonomy places the organism in Eukaryota, Metazoa, Chordata, Testudines, Geoemydidae. The record is from RefSeq and is a predicted model, not a curated record. The transcript is spliced from 3 exons.